GCACCCACCUGCACUUCUGCACACCUGGGUGGGCUCCAGGUGUGGCUGAGACUGCCAGCAAGGACGGGAGUGCCAGUAGGGUCACCAAGCCCAAGGAAGCCAGUGGUCCCGUGGGUUGUGGAUCUUUGGCAGGACCCACAGCUGACUGUGCAGCCUCCAGGAGGUGAAACCAGUCCAGCCGAAAGCAGAGGGACAAACRGCACACAACGGCCACGUAAAUCAAAGCGCAAGCCGACCAGAAAGAGAACGCGAAGUCUAACAAGUUUAUCCCUGGAUGAGAUGAUUCGUGCCCUGGAAGCACCUGUUUCUCUCCCCCAACUCAGAUGCUGUCCACUUUUCGCUGGAGGACUCCGUCUCCAAGACACUAGGAUGCCUGGACAGGCAGAGAGCCCAGGAGGACAGGAGCAGCCCCCCAGCUUUCCAGGUGCCGUGCUCACCCCUGGGGCGCCCGGGAGGC
This 457-nucleotide long non-coding RNA is filed under the name Dromaius novaehollandiae (emu). Its description in RNAcentral is "lncRNA (ENSDNVG00000019125.1)". Lineage: Eukaryota; Metazoa; Chordata; Aves; Casuariiformes; Dromaiidae. The record is from RNAcentral.